Molecule: long non-coding RNA, 1527 nt
Organism: Neofelis nebulosa (Clouded leopard)
Lineage: Eukaryota; Metazoa; Chordata; Mammalia; Carnivora; Felidae
Exons: 2
Source: RefSeq, a predicted model, not a curated record
GAAACAUCGGAAAUACAGUAAGACCUUGGUUUGAGAGCAUAAUAUGUUCCAGAAACAUGCUUGCAAUCCAAAGCACUUGUAUAUCAAAGUGAAUUUCAAGAACCAAUGGGCUCAGUUGUAAUCAUGUGACGUUGUGGCGUCCUGUACUAUUCAUAUUGCAAGACAUCACUCUUUUAUCAAGUUAAACUUUAUCAGAAAUGUUUGCUCACCUUGUGGAACAAGUCACUAGCAAUCCAAGGUUUUACUGUAUAUUUAUUUGCACCGUGCACUUGAGCUAGAAACUGACAAGUCCUUACAUGAGCCUCUUCGUUUCAAUAGAGGCCACCGCCUAUGGCCUUCUGCCAUGUGAGGGAACCUUGAAGUUCAUCACAGAGGGCUCCAAACAGCCCUGUAAAAUUCUGCCUUCCUCCCCAGACACUUGGUGUAUAAGCCGUCUGAGCACGCGAUGCAGAAGGUGAUGGCCUGACCCUGAGACCUUGUUCAUGGGUAAGAGUACAGCCUGGGCACAGGGUCACAGAACCCUGUUUCUUAACCUGAAAAUGCCCCCAUAUAAAGAGAGACACGUGUCCACUAAGAAAUCUGCACAAUCUGCUCAAUUACCUACGGGAAGGUGUCGGCCGGACAUCUGCGUGAACUCAGUGCCUGAACAGCUUCCCGCAUCCCAACGGGCUCGGCCACAGGGGUCUCAAACUCUGCCCGUCCUCGGUCCCCAUGUCCUCUUACUGACCGACCACUCAAAGUGGGAAUUUCUUCCCUGGGUACAUACAACACGAAGACACACGUAGUCACAACACAGUCUCCGAGAAAUGGGAACCACAGGCCAGCCCCGCCCUCAUUCUGACGGGAGACAUCUCCUGUGUUAUUAUUUUCUUGAAAAAUCUCUGAAGACGCACAGACACCCCAAUCACUGUGAAGUCUGGAGCCCUCGCCUGCCUCCCUCAGCUUUGGUGAGAGACACAGGGAGACAGAAGGAGUUUUAAUAAGAACAUGGCCAGGCGAUGCAGUGAUGUCAAAGGGGAAUAGAUUAAGAAAGCAUCAUUCAACUUGACAAUGGAUUCAUUUCAAUCAACAUUUACUGACAAACAUCUUGCUCUAAACCAACUACAUAAUUUGUGGGGCCAGUACAAAAUGAAAAUACAGUCUCUCCAAGUUUUACUAAGGAUUUCAAGACUGCAACGCCCACGGAACGGGCCCUGAAUUUUGGUCACAGGUACCAGUACAAACACCUGUAUCCUGCUUUCAAGCAACUGAGGAAAAAAAAAAAAAAAAAAAAAAAACAGAAAAGCAAAAGCCUCAGUAAUCACUUUUCAGAGCAGGAAGAGAUGAACGCAUUUGGGUCCAUCUUUCCAAUCCUGGAAGAUCUUUCAAUUGGGCAAUCUAGGGAAACUUCCAUGAGAAAGAAGCUUCUGAAUUAGAGUUUGAAGAAUCCAAAGCAAUGAAGACACGGCCAAUGCAGAAAAAGAUAUUGCUGGCAGACGGGAAAAAGCAAAACAUAAAAUAAAAUAAAGAUUUCUGAAGGGGUCAAGA